AUACGUAGGGGGCAAGCGUUAUCCGGAUUUACUGGUUGUAAAGGGAGCGCAGACGGCAGUGCAAGUCUGAUGUGAAAGCCCGGGGCUCAACCCCGGAACUGCAUUGGAAACUGUACAGCUUGAGUGUCGGAGAGGUAAGCGGAAUUCCUAGUGUAGCGGUGAAAUGCGUAGAUAUUAGGAGGAACACCGGUGGCGAAGGCGGCUUACUGGACGAUAACUGACGUUGAGGCUCGAGAGCGUGGGGAGCAAACAGGAUUAGAUACCCUGGUAGUCCACGCUGUAAACGAUGAAUACUAGGUGUGGGUGUGCACUGCACAUCCGUGCCGCAGCUAACGCAGUAAGUAUUCCACCUGGGGAGUACGUUCGCAAGAAUGAAACUCAAAUGAAUUGACGGGG
This 396-nucleotide ribosomal RNA is filed under the name uncultured bacterium. RNAcentral's name for it is "partial 16S ribosomal RNA". It matches the Rfam family "Bacterial small subunit ribosomal RNA", at positions 523 to 918 of the family's 1533-position model. The record is from RNAcentral.